This 1505-nucleotide ribosomal RNA is filed under the name Staphylococcus pseudintermedius. RNAcentral describes it as "partial 23S ribosomal RNA". It matches the Rfam family "Bacterial large subunit ribosomal RNA", at positions 1353 to 2857 of the family's 2925-position model. The record is from RNAcentral. Lineage: Bacteria; Bacillati; Bacillota; Bacilli; Caryophanales; Staphylococcaceae.
UCCAGAGGAAGGCUCGUCCGCUCUGGGUUAGUCGGGUCCUAAGCUGAGGCCGACAGGCGUAGGCGAUGGAUAACAGGUUGAUAUUCCUGUACCACCAUUAUUCGUUUUAAGCGAUGGGGGGACGCAGUAGGAUAGGCGAAGCGUGCUGUUGGAGUGCACGUCCAAGCAGUGAGAUUGAGUGUUAGGCAAAUCCGGCACUCUUAAGAUUGAGCUGUGAUGGGGAGAGGAACUUGUUCCUCGAGUCGUUGAUUUCACACUGCCGAGAAAAGCCUCUAGCUAGAAUAACGGUGCCCGUACCGCAAACCGACACAGGUAGUCAAGAUGAGAAUUCUAAGGUGAGCGAGCGAACUCUCGUUAAGGAACUCGGCAAAAUGACCCCGUAACUUCGGGAGAAGGGGUGCUCUUUGAGGUUCACGCUUCGAAGAGCCGCAGUGAAUAGGCCCAAGCGACUGUUUAUCAAAAACACAGGUCUCUGCUAAACCGUAAGGUGACGUAUAGGGGCUGACGCCUGCCCGGUGCUGGAAGGUUAAGAGGAGUGGUUAGCGCAAGCGAAGCUACGAAUCGAAGCCCCAGUAAACGGCGGCCGUAACUAUAACGGUCCUAAGGUAGCGAAAUUCCUUGUCGGGUAAGUUCCGACCCGCACGAAAGGCGUAACGAUUUGGGCACUGUCUCAACGAGAGACUCGGUGAAAUCAUAGUACCGGUGAAGAUGCCGGUUACCCGCGACAGGACGGAAAGACCCCGUGGAGCUUUACUGUAGCCUGAUAUUGAAAUUCGGUACAGUUUGUACAGGAUAGGUAGGAGCCUUAGAAGCGUGAGCGCUAGCUUACGUGGAGGCAUUGGUGGGAUACUACCCUAAUUGUAUUGGAUUUCUAACCCGCAGCACUUAUCGUGCUGGGAGACAGUGUCAGGCGGGCAGUUUGACUGGGGCGGUCGCCUCCUAAAGAGUAACGGAGGCGCUCAAAGGUUCCCUCAGAAUGGUUGGAAAUCAUUCAUAGAGUGUAAAGGCAUAAGGGAGCUUGACUGCGAGACCUACAAGUCGAGCAGGGUCGAAAGACGGACUUAGUGAUCCGGUGGUUCCGCAUGGAAGGGCCAUCGCUCAACGGAUAAAAGCUACCCCGGGGAUAACAGGCUUAUCUCCCCCAAGAGUUCACAUCGACGGGGAGGUUUGGCACCUCGAUGUCGGCUCAUCGCAUCCUGGGGCUGUAGUCGGUCCCAAGGGUUGGGCUGUUCGCCCAUUAAAGCGGUACGCGAGCUGGGUUCAGAACGUCGUGAGACAGUUCGGUCCCUAUCCGUCGUGGGCGUAGGAAAUUUGAGAGGAGCUGUCCUUAGUACGAGAGGACCGGGAUGGACAUACCUCUGGUGUACCAGUUGUCGUGCCAACGGCAUAGCUGGGUAGCUAUGUAUGGACGGGAUAAGUGCUGAAAGCAUCUAAGCAUGAAGCCCCCCUCGAGAUGAGAUUUCCCAACUUCGGUUAUAAGAUCCCUCAAAGAUGAUGAGGUGAAU